AGGGAAUAUUGGACAAUGGGCGCAAGCCUGAUCCAGCCAUGCCGCGUGAGUGAAGAAGGCCUUCGGGUUGUAAAGCUCUUUUGUCCGGAAAGAAAAGCACCUGGUUAAUACCUGGGUGUCCUGACGGUACCGGAAGAAUAAGCACCGGCUAACUUCGUGCCAGCAGCCGCGGUAAUACGAAGGGUGCAAGCGUUACUCGGAAUUACUGGGCGUAAAGCGUGCAUAGGUGGUUCGUUAAGUCUGAUGUGAAAGCCUUGGGCUCAACCUGGGAAUGGCAUUGGAUACUGGCGGGCUAGAGUGCGGUAGAGGGCAGUGGAAUUCCCGGUGUAGCAGUGAAAUGCGUAGAGAUCGGGAGGAACAUCUGUGGCGAAGGCGACUGCCUGGACCAGCACUGACACUGAGGCACGAAAGCGUGGGGAGCAAA
RNAcentral lists this ribosomal RNA (424 nucleotides) under uncultured bacterium. RNAcentral describes it as "bacterial SSU rRNA". It matches the Rfam family "Bacterial small subunit ribosomal RNA", at positions 356 to 772 of the family's 1533-position model. The record is from RNAcentral.